CACGCCGUAAACGAUGAGUGCUAGGUGUUGGGGGGUUCCACCCUCAGUGCCGAAGCUAACGCAUUAAGCACACCGCCUGGGGAGUACGGUCGCAAGACUGAAACUCAAAGGAAUUGACGGGGGCCCGCACAAGCAGUGGAGCAUGUGGUUUAAUUCGAAGCAACGCGAAGAACCUUACCAAGACUUGACAUCCCGCUGACCUCUCUAGAGAUAGAGAUUCCCUUCGGGGCAGCGGUGACAGGUGGUGCAUC
Molecule: ribosomal RNA, 251 nt
Filed under: uncultured bacterium
Lineage: Bacteria
Description: partial 16S ribosomal RNA
Rfam family: Bacterial small subunit ribosomal RNA
Source: RNAcentral